UACAGAGGUCCCGAGCGUUGUUCGGAUUCACUGGGCGUAAAGGGUGCGUAGGUGGUGAAGUAAGUCGGAUGUGAAAUCUCGGAGCUUAACUCCGAAACUGCAUUGGAAACUACUUUGCUCGAGGGUUGGAGGGGGGGCUGGAAUUCUCGGUGUAGCAGUGAAAUGCGUAGAUAUCGAGAGGAACACCAGUGGCGAAGGCGGGUCUCUGGGCCGAUACUGACGCUGAGGAGCGAAAGCGUGGGGAGCGAACAGG
RNAcentral lists this ribosomal RNA (253 nucleotides) under uncultured bacterium. Its description in RNAcentral is "partial 16S ribosomal RNA". It matches the Rfam family "Bacterial small subunit ribosomal RNA", at positions 524 to 776 of the family's 1533-position model. The record is from RNAcentral.